RNAcentral lists this unclassified non-coding RNA (234 nucleotides) under plant metagenome. Its description in RNAcentral is "partial contains small subunit ribosomal RNA, internal transcribed spacer 1, and 5.8S ribosomal RNA". The record is from RNAcentral.
UUUCCGUAGGUGAACCUGCGGAAGGAUCAUUACACAGUAUUAUCGGGGGCAGGUGAGCAGAUGCGCGUAAGCGUUCUGUCUCCUGCUCUGUCUGAUUCUACCCAUGUUUUUUGCGUACUUCUGUUUCCUCGGCAGGCUUGCUUGCCAGCAGGACACUUUCAACUCAUUGCAAUAGUAAUCAGCGUCAGAAUACUAUAAUUAUUACAACUUUCAACAACGGAUCUCUUGGUUCUG